UUGGUCGCGGCUUUGCCCGCGGCCUAUUUUUGGCACACGGAGGCCUCUCGCAAAGUCUCGCGGCAUUCAGAGUCCGGCGGACGAAGUGGGCCAGCCCCACCCCCCAAGGCUAUAGCCCACCCGUUUUUGUGGCGUUUUCCGCUGGACGAACUUGGCGCCCCGGCCUUCGGGCGGUUAUUUUUGGGCGCGGUUUUGCCCGCGACCUAUUUUUGGCACACGGAGGCCCCUCGCAAAUUCUCGCGGCAUUCAGAGUCCGGCGGACGAAGUAGGCCAGCCCCACCCUCCAACGCUAUAGCCCACCCGUUUUUGUGGCCUUUUUCCGCUGGACGAACUUGGCGCCUCGGCCUUCGGGUGGGUAUUUUUGGUCGCGGCUUUGCCCGCGGCCUAUUUUUGGCACACAGAGGCCUCUCGCAAAGUCUCGCGGCAUUCCGAGUCCGGCGGACGAAGUGGGCCAGCCCCACCCCCCAAGGCUAUAGCCCACCCGUUUUUGUGGCCUUUUUCCGCUGGACAAACUUGGCGCCCCGGCCUUCGGGGUGUUAUUUUUUGGCGCGGAUUUUGCCGCGCCUUAUUUUUGGCACACGGAGGCCCCUCGCAAAAUCUUGCGGCAUUCCGAGUCCGGCGGACGAAGUUGGCCAGCCCCACCCCCCAAGGCUAUAGCCCACCCGUUUUUGUGGCCUUUUUCCGCUGGACGAACUUGGCGGCCCAGCCUUCGGGCGGUUAUUUUUGGUCGCGGCUUUGCCCGCGGCCUAUUUUUGGCACACGGAGGCCUCUCGCAAAGUCUCGCGGCAUUCUGAGUCCGGCGGACGAAGUUGGCCAGCCCCACCCCCCAAGGCUAUAGCCCACCCGUUUUUGUGGCCUUUUUCCGCUGGACGAACUUGGCGCCCCGGCCUUCGGGCGGUUAUUUUUGGGCGCGGUGUUGCCCGCGACCUAUUUUUGGCACACGGAGGCCCCUCGCAAAGUCUCGCGGCAUUCAGAGUCCGGCGGACGAAGUAGGCCAGCCCCACCCUCCAACGCUAUAGCCCACCCGUUUUUGUGGCCUUUUUCCGCUGGACGAACUUGGCGCCUCGGCCUUCGGGUGGGUAUUUUUGGUCGCGGCUUUGCCCGCGACCUAUUUUUGGCACACAGAGGCCUCUCGCAAAGUCUCGCGGCAUUCCGAGUCCGGCGGACGAAGUGGGCCAGCCCCACCCCCCAAGGCUAUAGCCCACCCGUUUUUGUGGCCUUUUUCCGCUGGACAAACUUGGCGCCCCGGCCUUCGGGGUGUUAUUUUUUGGCGCGGAAUUUUGCCGCGCCUUAUUUUUGGCACACGGAGGCCCCUCGCAAAAUCUUGCGGCAUUCCGAGUCCGGCGGACGAAGUUGGCCAGCCCCACCCCCCAAGGCUAUAGCCCACCCGUUUUUGUGGCCUUUUUCCGCUGGACGAACUUGACGCCCCGGCCUUUGGGCGGUUAUUUUUAAGCGCGGCUUUGCCCGCGGCCAAUUUUUGGCACACGGAGGCCUCUCGCAAAGUCUCGCGGCAUUCUGAGUCCGGCGGACGAAGUUGGCCAGCCCCACCCCCCAAGGCUAUUGCCCACCCGUUUUUGUGGCCUUUUUCCGCUGGACGAACUUGGCGCCCCGGCCUUUGGGCGGUUAUUUUUAAGCGCGGCUUUGCCCGCGGCCUAUUUUUGGCACACGGAGGCCCCUCGCAAAGUCUCGCGGCAUUCCGAGUCCGGCGGACGAAGUAGGCCAGCCCCACCCUCCAAUGCUAUAGCCCACCCGUUUUGUGUGGCCUUUUUCCGCUGGACGAACUUGGCGCCCCGGCCUUCGGGUGGGUAUUUUUGGUCGCGGCUUUGCCCGCGGCCUAUUUUUGGCACACAGAGGCCUCUCGCAAAGUCUCGCGGCAUUCCGAGUCCGGCGGACGAAGUGGGCCAGCCCCACCCCCCAAGGCUAUAGCCCACCCGUUUUUGUGGCCUUUUUCCGCUGGACGAACUUGGCGCCCCGGCCUUCGGGCGGGUAUUUUUGGGCGCGGCUUUGCCCGCGGCCUAUUUUUGGCACACGGAGGCCCCUCGCAAAGUCUCGCGGCAUUCCGAGUCCGGCGGAAGAAGUGGGCCAGCCCCACCCCCCAAGGCCAUAGCCCACCCGUUUUUGUGGCCUUUUUCCGCUGGAGGAACUUGGCGCCCCGGCCUUCGGGCGGUUAUUUUUGGGUACGGAUUUGCCCGCGGCCUAUUUUUGGCACACGGAGGCCUCUCGCAAAGUCUCGCGGCAUUCUGAGUCCGGCGGACGAAGUUGGCCAGCCCCACCCCCCAAGGCUAUAGCCCAUCCGUUUUUGUGGCCUUUUUCCGCUGGACGAACUUGGCGCCCCGGCCUUUGGGCGGUUAUUUUUAAGCGCGGCUUUGCCCGCGGCCUAUUUUUGGCACACGGAGGCCCCUCGCAAAGUCUCGCGGCAUUCCGAGCCCGGCGGACGAAGUUGGCCAGCCCCACCCCCCAAGGCUAUAGCCCAUCCGUUUUUGUGGCCUUUUUCCGCUGGACGAACUUGGCGCCCCGGCCUUCGGGCAGUUAUUUUUGGGCGCGGCUUUGCCCGCGGCCUAUUUUUGGCCCAUGGAGGCCCCUCGCAAAGUCUCGUGGCAUUCCGAGUCCGGCGGACGAAGUAGGCCAGCCCCAACCCCCAAGGCUAUAGGCCACCCGUUUUUGUGGCCUUUUUCCGCUGGACGAACUUGGCGCCCCGGCCUUCGGACGGUUAUUUUUAAGCGCGGCUUUGCCCGCGGCCUAUUUUUGGCACAC
RNAcentral lists this long non-coding RNA (2754 nucleotides) under Citrus x clementina. RNAcentral's name for it is "Citrus clementina (C. clementina) long non-coding RNA (CCLE_LNC004898)". The record is from RNAcentral. Lineage: Eukaryota; Viridiplantae; Streptophyta; Magnoliopsida; Sapindales; Rutaceae.